AACGUAGGAGGCGAGCGUUAUCCGGAUUUAUUGGGCGUAAAGCGCAUGCAGGCGGUUUACUAAGUCGGACGUGAAAGCUCCUGGCUCAACUAGGAGAGGUUGUUCGAAACUGGAAAACUUGAGGAUGGUAGAGGUGAGUGGAAUUCCCGGUGUAGUGGUGAAAUGCGUAGAUAUCGGGAGGAACACCAGUGGCGAAGGCGGCUCACUGGGCCAUUCCUGACGCUCAGAUGCGAAAGCUAGGGGAGAGAACGGG
This 253-nucleotide ribosomal RNA is filed under the name uncultured bacterium. Its description in RNAcentral is "partial 16S ribosomal RNA". It matches the Rfam family "Bacterial small subunit ribosomal RNA", at positions 524 to 776 of the family's 1533-position model. The record is from RNAcentral.